Long non-coding RNA from Lycium ferocissimum, 276 nucleotides. RefSeq lists it as uncharacterized. The record is from RefSeq and is a predicted model, not a curated record. NCBI's taxonomy places the organism in Eukaryota, Viridiplantae, Streptophyta, Magnoliopsida, Solanales, Solanaceae. The transcript has 3 exons.
UAUAAUUUCGUUUGGUGUUGGAGUUAUCUUGGGGACAAGAAAAUGAUGAAGAUUUUGCUACUUUCAUAAAAAUAAGAUUACGAAGCUACGAAUAAUUCUUAAGAGAGUUGCAAGACAGGAAGUAAGUUGGAAGUCGAGAAUUAUCUUCCAGGUGUAUACAGACGAGUAGAGGAUAUGGCUAGAAGAUGUUCCAGCUAGAUUGGCGAGCUCCAUUUCUUUCCGGAGUGUUGCCGAGUCAGAGUAUCCAUGUCAUGGUAUAAUGAUUUAUGUUAGAGA